ACAUUGCGGCCCUGGGAUUUCUCCCAGGGCUACGCCUGUCCGAGGGUCGAAUAUGACCGAUUUCUCACGAGCGUUCCAGCCCGGGAAACGCAAAGUUCGUGACGCGGGGGUACGUUGACAGAGCAGGCUGUGAACGGCAGGGUGUGCUUGCGCACCCUCCCCUCAGAUACGCAAAAUAACCGACGCGAGAAACGGCACGUCUCGCGCCCUUCGGCCAGUUAGGGAACGGGUCGGAAAUUCGGGCGCAGUUGAGGACGUAGGCGUCUCGCUGAUUGAAACGCGACCUCGGAUCAGGCGAGACUACCCGCUGAAUUUAAGCAUAUUACU
This 327-nucleotide ribosomal RNA is filed under the name Cryptops niuensis. RNAcentral's name for it is "eukaryotic LSU rRNA". The record is from RNAcentral. Lineage: Eukaryota; Metazoa; Arthropoda; Chilopoda; Scolopendromorpha; Cryptopidae.